Molecule: ribosomal RNA, 260 nt
Filed under: uncultured bacterium
Lineage: Bacteria
Description: partial 16S ribosomal RNA
Rfam family: Bacterial small subunit ribosomal RNA
Source: RNAcentral
CCGGCGCACGGGUGAGUAACACGUAUCCAACCUGCCGUCUACUCUUGGACAGCCUUCUGAAAGGAAGAUUAAUACAAGAUGGCAUCAUGAGUCCGCAUGUUCACAUGAUUAAAGGUAUUCCGGUAGACGAUGGGGAUGCGUUCCAUUAGAUAGUAGGCGGGGUAACGGCCCACCUAGUCUUCGAUGGAUAGGGGUUCUGAGAGGAAGGUCCCCCACAUUGGAACUGAGACACGGUCCAGACUCCUACGGGAGGCAGCAUG